UACGUAGGGACCGAGCGUUGUCCGGAUUCAUUGGGCGUAAAGAGCUCGUAGGCGGCUGCUCAAGUCGAAUGUGAAAACUCGAGGCUCAACCUCGAGCCUGCAUUCGAUACUGGGCGGCUAGAGUCUGGUAGGGGGAUCUGGAAUUCCUGGUGUAGCGGUGGAAUGCGCAGAUAUCAGGAGGAACACCAGUGGCGAAGGCGGGAUCCUGGGCCAGUACUGACGCUGAGGAGCGAAAGCGUGGGGAGCAAACAGG
This 253-nucleotide ribosomal RNA is filed under the name uncultured bacterium. RNAcentral's name for it is "partial 16S ribosomal RNA". It matches the Rfam family "Bacterial small subunit ribosomal RNA", at positions 524 to 776 of the family's 1533-position model. The record is from RNAcentral.